Molecule: long non-coding RNA, 173 nt
Organism: Oxyura jamaicensis (ruddy duck)
Lineage: Eukaryota; Metazoa; Chordata; Aves; Anseriformes; Anatidae
Exons: 3
Source: RefSeq, a predicted model, not a curated record
UGUAAUUCCCCACAUCCUCCUUCCUGCGCUUCUUGUAGAUGAGUGUCAUAUUCACCAACCUCCAGUCAACUGGGUCCUUCACAGUUAGCCAAGACUACUGGUAAAUUAUUGAAAGUGGCUUGGUUAGCACUUCUGCCAGCUCCUUCAGCACCCUACAAAUGACUGCUGUCAGG